Long non-coding RNA from Caretta caretta (loggerhead turtle), 1268 nucleotides. RefSeq lists it as uncharacterized. Lineage: Eukaryota; Metazoa; Chordata; Testudines; Cheloniidae. The record is from RefSeq and is a predicted model, not a curated record.
GAAUGACAGAAGUUGAAGAUGAAGGCUACACAGAAAAUUUAUUUAUGUUUUGUUUGUGCUUAGACCCGCUUAGUUAAACAGUGUUACCAAAGAGAUUUUGCCCAGUCAUGUUACCCAGUUACCAGCACAAAAACACCCAAAGAGAAUACUGUUAGCCAAAAAGAGCCCGUAAGAUGUGGGAAGUGCUCUUUCAAAGGAUUUUAUGGUUAAGAACAUUACAAUACUAAAACUGGGACAUUAUGGUUCAUCGGUCUCAGUUUGACCUAUUUCUUCCUCCCACUUAGAGAGAAUAGUUAUAUAUGUCCUACUACAUUAUAAGCAAACAACCGAGACGGGGAGGUGCUUUACUUUUUUUUCCAACGUAAGAAAUCAAAACAGUGCAUCACCAUGAGCAUCUUUAUAAAAGCUCUAAACCUUGCAGCAACACUGUGAGCACAUUAAAUAGAUAAGAAAACUGCUAUGGAUGAUGUUUUUUAUAUAUUCAUUUUUCAGAUAAAUAUUCAGCACCCUAAAUAAAACUUAGGUAAGGAGUCUUUUAAUCAUUUUUAAAGGCUUGAAGAGCAGUCCCUAUAUGACAUCCACUGAUACUCUCUGCUCAUGAUAUCAAACACCCAGCACUGAAGGAUGAAGCUGCCUUUCAGAAAAGAUGGCAAAUCCACUUUCUGCUCCAAAUUACACAGGUCAUUUCGGAUCCUUGGAACCAGGGAGCAACCAAGCUUUGAGCCAUAGUCUUUUCAGAUUCGGGUGAAUGGUUUGGCCUGUGUCCUGGGAAAAGAGACGAGGCAGGCGAGGAACAGUGCCACGUUUCCACACUAACAUUUGGAGCAGGAGUAUAGAUGACCAAGGACUUCAGUGUUGCCCUUGAGUCCUUGAGCCUGUGCAGAUACUCAUCUGUCUCAGCCGCAAAGAGUUUAGGCCUGUCAAAUGACAGAUCGUCCACAAUCGAUCGCACCUCGCUCAGGAAACAAAAGAGAGGCAACCAAGAAGCUCAUCUCAUAACUAUUGCAGUAUCUGUAGAUUGCGCAGCAAUAUCUGCUGAGUCCAGAGCAGCAUGUAAUGCCAUCCUGGAGAUCAGUUGUCCCUCGGAGAUGAGCGCUCUGAACUGUUCUUUUUUCUCCUCCAGGAGGAAUUCAAUAAAUUUGGAGAACUUCCCAUAGUUUGUGUGGUCUUAUUUUGCCAGCGUUGCUUUCUAAUUGCUGAUCCGAAGGUGGUGUGUCGCGGAGGAGUAGGCCUUUCAGCCAAAGAGGUAGAACCUCUUCCAAUCUUUG